Oryctolagus cuniculus (rabbit) is the source of this 3701-nucleotide non-coding RNA. Lineage: Eukaryota; Metazoa; Chordata; Mammalia; Lagomorpha; Leporidae. The record is from RefSeq and is a predicted model, not a curated record.
AGGCUCCCAGACGCUCUGCGCGGGACGCAUGCGCCGCUCGUCCUUCAAGUACAGGAGGGCGGGGCCGCGCUAGUGAGGAAUUCCUGCUUCGGUCCCUGCACUGUCCAACCCGAAGUUUAAAAAGAGGAACCUACAACUCGCGUUUUCCUGACUCUUCUAGACAGGACUGAACACUGGGACAUCCGUCCGACUGUGGCAUUGCGGGCCCGAACAGGCCGAGGCUGUAGUUCCGGCAUUUCCAAAAUUCAGUUUUUUCUUAAGAGUUUGCCACACAGUACACAGCAAGUGGAGCUCACGGAGCAUGCUCCUGAGGGGCGUCCUCGGCGUCGGGACGUCGGGGGCGUGGGAAAAAGCGGGACGCGGAAGCGCCCAGAACGCCGCACCGGAAGCGGUGGCGCCCCAGGGGGGCGUGUCCGGGAACUGCGCACGCGCCGCCUCUCCACGCUCUGCGCACGCGCCCGGGGCGGGACUCCCGGUCUCCAUGGCGACCGGACGCGGUCGGCUCCUGCAGCAGCACUGGCUUGGCCUCCAGGCUCUGUACUGGCCCCUGCGCGGCCGGGGGUCGGCUUGCGAGAACCCUGGGGAGGCCGCGCGGUGCCCAGGGCCUUCGGGGCUUAGAAAGGGACCAGGGGUCAGAUUCGCUGUGGGCCGCGCUGCUGGAAGACCCUGUGCCAGGCACACACAGCACUGUGAGAGGUCCUCUGGCUGCCCUGUGUCCCUGGCGAGAAUGCCUUCAGAAAUCUUGUUGAAGAUACUUUCCUACCUGGAUGCUGUAAGUUUGCUGUGCAUUGGAUGUGUAAGCAGGCGCUUUUAUCAUCUGGCCAAUGACAAUUUUAUUUGGAUCAGAGUCUACUCGGCUGCCUUUCCACCUAGAAGAUCCAAUUGGAAAGUGGAUGCAGUGGAAGGGGCAGCUGAGGAGACCAGCGUACUAUCCUCUGGGGAAAAAGAAGCCGGAUACUGGAAGAAAGAAUAUAUUACAAAGCAGAUGGCAUCCGUGCAGGGGGCACUCGCUCAGGUCCUGAGACCUGUCAACCCCUACACAGGCCUGCCAGUGAAAACCAAAGAGGCCCUCAGAAUAUCUGGUUUAAGCUGGGCAAUUAUAUUGAAAGAGAAAAGUGGAAAAGAAUAUAUCAUGGACCAUGUUGAUCUUUCCUUAAAUGAUACAUCAGUUACUGUGGUGUGGUAUGACAAAAACUGGCCAUGUUUAGCCUCGUUGUCAACCUUAGAUUUGUGUGGUGUGACACCAGUUUUUAUGGACCGGUAUAAACUCUCCACCAAAAAUGGACCUCGUUGGUAUUCUUUAAUUGCAAAGUAUGACCUCAGUCAUUUAACUGAGUGCACGCUGAUUGGCUGUGACAGACUCAUUCGGAUCUUCUGCCUAAACCCUGGCCUCCUGGUGGGGCUGUGGAAGAAGGAGGAAGAGCUGGCUUUUGUUAUGGCAAAUCUUCAUUUCCAUCACCUUGUGGAGAGGAGCACUUUAGGCUCGGCCACUGUUCCUUAUGAGUUGCCUCCUCAUAGUCCCGUUUUGGAUGACAACCCAGAGUAUGGACUACAUGGCUACCAGCUCCACGUGGACCUGCACAGUGGUGGAGUUUCCUACCUGUGUGGUACAUUUCGUAAUCUCUUCACCAAGCGAGAACACAUUGAAAAUGGACACAUCAAGCUCAUUGUUAUAAAUGUUACAAAUAACAGAGAACACCUACCUCUUGUUGGAAAAAUUGGCCUUACUUGGAGAACUAAUAUAUUUUAUGGCUUUAUAAAGUCAGUCUCCUGAGCAUGCCGUCAGCGCGAUCUCUGUGUGGUGCUGUGCAGGCCAGGCUCUCUCUUCCCUGAUUGGUGAGGAGCCCAGAGAGAAGACAUUCUUGCAUAUGAACUUCACAUGUGAACUUGGGAUUACACAGCGUGUGUUCUCAGCAUUCAGCAGCUACGUUACUGUUUAACGAAGCAGCGUGGAGUAGAGAAGUGGCCUGGCUCUCGAGGAAAUCCUCUGAAGAAAUUAUUGUAACUUAAAAGAGCGAGGCACAGCGCAAUACAAGAGACUCUAAGAAACAGUGCCCUUGUUCAAUGAGUGGAAGGUUCCUGUUUUGCAAAAUCAUGUGUGUUCUCAUCAACAGGAACUGACUCAUGCUAGGGAUCUGGUUGUGAAAACUCCCUCUCGGCUGUGAAGAAGAAAAAAAAAUCUAAGAAUUAUUGCAGGAAAAACAUGAAGGAAUCAUAGCCUUUGUAUCAAGCUGCAGAGAAGGCUAAUGUUUUAAACAUAUGCAGCACCGAACAUCAUUGUAGUUUAAAGUGAAUCACUGUCUGAUUUAAUCAUCGCUAGCCCAGAACAGAAUACAUUUGGAAAGGCUGCCUGCUGCUGACUCUGUUUAGUUCAGGAUUUACUACUUUUUAUUAUCCUUGGAGAGUAGGAAGUCUGAAUAAAUUACCUCUGGAUUCACGGCCUCCGCUUUCUAACUUGUGUUGCUUCCUCUUAAUUGCUCAUAGGAGAACGCGAAAUAAGUUAUUUGGGUGCCUUUCGUUGUCUGGAGCACGUUUCACUCGCAGAACCUGGGUGCUUUGUGGAGUCUCACUGUACUUCGGAAUAAUGAAGUCUGGUGGAUGCCAUACUUGCUCCACAUGUCAAAAACUGCCUCCUGGAGUCUACAUCAGAGUGAGCAGUCAAUAAAUAUUGUGAACUGAGCUUCAAACAACUUCCCUCUAAGAAGCCAUCCGCGUGGAGUCGUCUCUGAGCAGCGACAAAUCUCCAACCAGUGAGCCUGAGCUUCCGGCAGAAGACGGUGCCCUCGCGGGGAGUGGUGAGGAGCACCCGGACGCUGCACGCCCAGUGCAGUCCUGACGAGGCACUGUGGGAGAAUCCCUCCUCAGCCUUGGGGCAAAAGCCACCCCUCCCUCUGCUAGGUGGCGUAUCUGGGGUGGUUAGCAUGGCGGCGAGACCUUGUGUGAGUGGGCUGUGAAAUCCCUUCUCAGGCAACAUCCUGGAGGCAGACGGAGAUGAGAGGAAGGGGCAGAGCGACCGUUACCACGCCAAUCUGCCUGUCGUGAGGCUGAUGGUGUCAGCGGGAGCCGUGUAAACAUGGCCCUGAGACAACAAGCCUGAGCCAGGCCCCUCUGCUUCUGAGGCCAAGGGCAGGGUGGGUGUGGUUUGAGGCGGCACUCAUUCACCCCUGCUUCUCCAGGCUGUAUUUCGGGGAGUGGAGGUGAGAGACGCGUGAGCAUCUGGCUGACUUCUGCAUCCUGGCACUAACAGCUGGUCUGUGGGGCUGGGGCCUGGGCCCUCAGAAGAGACAAUUCCACGCCCUCCACCCACCUGAGACACGGCGACGGUCCUUCCACUUGGUUCCUCUGCUCAGUAGCUGAUGGCAUCUCGCUCCUCGAUUUGCUCGUGCCUCCAUCAUCUAGAUCUUUCCACCAGGGUGAAGCAGGGAGUUUGUUUCCGAGGUUUGAGUCCCAGCACAGGCUGAGUCCUGGCUGCUGAAUCAUGGAACGGAGCAACCAACCACUCAGCUCUCACUGCCUGAAGCCAACACUGUGGACGUGUCCGUGGGUAUUGAUAACCGUGGGACACUCGUCUCCCGGGACAGGCGGCACUGGUAUUUUCUGGACCUUGUCAAUGUGGGACCUGAACCCUUGCGCCCUCCCCGUGAACUUCGUGCAUCAGCUUAGGUGUAAUUAGGUGUAAUUUCUAAAGCAAGGUGGGAUCC